GAUCUCAGAUCAGGUGAGGUUACCCGCUG
RNAcentral lists this ribosomal RNA (29 nucleotides) under Tetranychus evansi (red spider mite). RNAcentral's name for it is "partial 28S ribosomal RNA". Lineage: Eukaryota; Metazoa; Arthropoda; Arachnida; Trombidiformes; Tetranychidae. The record is from RNAcentral.